Molecule: transfer RNA, 94 nt
Filed under: Spiroplasma apis B31
Lineage: Bacteria; Bacillati; Mycoplasmatota; Mollicutes; Entomoplasmatales; Spiroplasmataceae
Description: Selenocysteine transfer RNA
Rfam family: Selenocysteine transfer RNA
Source: Rfam by way of RNAcentral
GGAAAGGGUUGGGUCGCUGGUGCGCCCACUAGCCUCCGAAGCUAUGUUAAGAGUUUUGAAAACUUUUUGGUAUGUUCGAUUCGUACACCUUUCC